RNAcentral lists this ribosomal RNA (758 nucleotides) under Bacteroides fragilis. RNAcentral describes it as "bacterial SSU rRNA". It matches the Rfam family "Bacterial small subunit ribosomal RNA", at positions 28 to 776 of the family's 1533-position model. Lineage: Bacteria; Pseudomonadati; Bacteroidota; Bacteroidia; Bacteroidales; Bacteroidaceae. RNAcentral also lists the same sequence under 2 other names. The record is from RNAcentral.
GAUGAACGCUAGCUACAGGCUUAACACAUGCAAGUCGAGGGGCAUCAGGAAGAAAGCUUGCUUUCUUUGCUGGCGACCGGCGCACGGGUGAGUAACACGUAUCCAACCUGCCCUUUACUCGGGGAUAGCCUUUCGAAAGAAAGAUUAAUACCCGAUGGCAUAAUGAUUCCGCAUGGUUUCAUUAUUAAAGGAUUCCGGUAAAGGAUGGGGAUGCGUUCCAUUAGGUUGUUGGUGAGGUAACGGCUCACCAAGCCUUCGAUGGAUAGGGGUUCUGAGAGGAAGGUCCCCCACAUUGGAACUGAGACACGGUCCAAACUCCUACGGGAGGCAGCAGUGAGGAAUAUUGGUCAAUGGGCGCUAGCCUGAACCAGCCAAGUAGCGUGAAGGAUGAAGGCUCUAUGGGUCGUAAACUUCUUUUAUAUAAGAAUAAAGUGCAGUAUGUAUACUGUUUUGUAUGUAUUAUAUGAAUAAGGAUCGGCUAACUCCGUGCCAGCAGCCGCGGUAAUACGGAGGAUCCGAGCGUUAUCCGGAUUUAUUGGGUUUAAAGGGAGCGUAGGUGGACUGGUAAGUCAGUUGUGAAAGUUUGCGGCUCAACCGUAAAAUUGCAGUUGAUACUGUCAGUCUUGAGUACAGUAGAGGUGGGCGGAAUUCGUGGUGUAGCGGUGAAAUGCUUAGAUAUCACGAAGAACUCCGAUUGCGAAGGCAGCUCACUGGACUGCAACUGACACUGAUGCUCGAAAGUGUGGGUAUCAAACAGG